Molecule: ribosomal RNA, 423 nt
Filed under: Lytorhynchus diadema
Lineage: Eukaryota; Metazoa; Chordata; Lepidosauria; Squamata; Colubridae
Description: partial 12S ribosomal RNA
Source: RNAcentral
CGCCAAAUAACUACGAGUAAAAACUUAAAAUUUAAAAGACUUGACGGUGCUUCACAACAACCUAGAGGAGCCUGUCCAAUAACCGAUACUCCGCGAUUAACCCGACCCACCCUAGCCCAACAGUCUAUAUACCGCCGUCGCCAGCCUACCUUAUGAAAGAAACAAAGUAAGCCAAAUAGCACACACUAACAAGACAGGUCGAGGUGUAACUCAUGGGUGGGGCAAGAUGGGCUACAUUUUCUAAUACAGAAAAUACGAAUAAACUAUGAAAAGAGAAACUGAAGGAGGAUUUAGCAGUAAACUAGGAACAAACACACCUGGUCGAAACCAACGCAAUGAAGCGCGUACACACCGCCCGUCAUCCCUGUAAACACACAAAAACAUAAAUAAUAUAACAAACAAUUUUAAGCAGGGCAAGUCGUA